CACGCAGACGGAUCCGACAUCCAAGCAAGAUCUUGAAGAGUCGCCGCAUGCAUCGAACACACAGCCAGAACGACCAACACGUGCAUCAAAUUGAUUCUUUUAUUGCUCAAGUUCUAAUGUGGUCAAGUACUUUGGGAUGUUCACCUGUAACACAAUGUGAAGCAAAGCGUUCGGAGACCCUCCACCUAUACCGAAACACCGCAGGAUCAUCACCGACAUCCUCAUCAAAAAAGGAGAGAUUAUAAGAAUUCACAGUGACAGGAACUUCAUUGGCGUAACUGAGAGUCAGAGUGGACCUGGUUUAUUUUAGAUCAUUCUCUUAUGUGG
This is a long non-coding RNA of Megachile rotundata (alfalfa leafcutting bee), 327 nucleotides long. NCBI's taxonomy places the organism in Eukaryota, Metazoa, Arthropoda, Insecta, Hymenoptera, Megachilidae. The record is from RefSeq and is a predicted model, not a curated record.